Molecule: ribosomal RNA, 460 nt
Filed under: uncultured bacterium
Lineage: Bacteria
Description: partial 16S ribosomal RNA
Rfam family: Bacterial small subunit ribosomal RNA
Source: RNAcentral
CCUACGGGAGGCAGCAGUGAGGAAUAUUGGUCAAUGGACGAGAGUCUGAACCAGCCAAGUAGCGUGAAGGAUGACUGCCCUAUGGGUUGUAAACUUCUUUUAUAUGGGAAUAAAAUGUUCCACGUGUGGGAUUUUGUAUGUACCAUAUGAAUAAGGAUCGGCUAACUCCGUGCCAGCAGCCGCGGUAAUACGGAGGGUCCGAGCGUUAUCCGGAUUUAUUGGGUUUAAAGGGAGCGUAGGGGGAUUGUUAAGUCAGUUGUGAAAGUUUGGGGCUCAACCGUAAAAUUGCAGUUGAAACUGGCAGGCUUGAGUACAGGAGAGGUGGGCGGAAUGCGUGGUGUAGCGGUGAAAUGCUUAGAUAUCACGAAGAACUCCGAUUGCGAAGGCAGCUCACUGGACUGCAACUGACACUGAGGCGCGAAAGUGUGGGUGUCAAACAGGAUUAGAUACCCGAGUAGUC